This 429-nucleotide ribosomal RNA is filed under the name Gemmatimonadota bacterium. Its description in RNAcentral is "Gemmatimonadetes bacterium partial 16S ribosomal RNA". It matches the Rfam family "Bacterial small subunit ribosomal RNA", at positions 355 to 776 of the family's 1533-position model. The record is from RNAcentral. Lineage: Bacteria; Pseudomonadati; Gemmatimonadota.
UAGGGAAUCUUCGGCAAUGGACGAAAGUCUGACCGAGCAACGCCGCGUGAGUGAAGAAGGUUUUCGGAUCGUAUAACUCUGUUGUCAGUGAAGAACAAGGACGUUAGUAACUGUACGUCCCCUGACGGUAUCUCACCAGAUAGCCACGGCUAACUACGUGCCAGCAGCGGCGGUAAUACGUAGGUGGCAAGCGUUGUCCGGAUUUAUUGGGAGUUAAGCGAGCGCAGGCGGUUUCUUAAGUCUGAUGGGAAAGCCCCCGGCUCAACCGGGGAGGGUCAUUUGAAACUGGGAGACUUGAGUGCAGAAGAGGAGGGUGGAAUUCCAUGUGUAGCGGUGAAAUGCGUAGAUAUAUGGCGGAACGUCAGUGGCGAAGGCUGCUCUCUGGUCUGUAACUGAAGCUGUGGCUGGAAAGCGUGGGGAGCAAACAGG